AAUGGAUGUAGAGGAAAGUGGCGGACGGGUGAGUAACACGUAACAACCUGCCUUCAGGAUGGGGACAACAGACGGAAACGACUGCUAAUACCGAAUAAGGUUCCAAGAGCCGCAUGGCCCAUGGAGAAAAGGUGGCCUCUACCUGUAAGCUAUCGCCUGAAGAGGGGUUUGCGUCUGAUUAGCUGGUUGGAGGGGUAACGGCCCACCAAGGCGACGAUCAGUAGCCGGUCUGAGAGGAUGAACGGCCACACUGGAACUGAGACACGGUCCAGACUCCUACGGGAGGCAGCAGUGGGGAAUCUUCCGCAAUGGGCGAAAGCCUGACGGAGCAACGCCGCGUGAGUGAUGACGGCCUUCGGGUUGUAAAACUCUGUGAUCCGGGACGAAAAGGCAGAGUGCGAAGAACAAACUGCAUUGACGGUACCGGAAAAGCAAGCCACGGCUAACUACGUG
RNAcentral lists this ribosomal RNA (453 nucleotides) under uncultured bacterium. RNAcentral describes it as "bacterial SSU rRNA". It matches the Rfam family "Bacterial small subunit ribosomal RNA", at positions 78 to 507 of the family's 1533-position model. The record is from RNAcentral.